RNAcentral lists this long non-coding RNA (1546 nucleotides) under Homo sapiens (human). Its description in RNAcentral is "non-protein coding lnc-TP53TG3-34:2". The record is from RNAcentral. Lineage: Eukaryota; Metazoa; Chordata; Mammalia; Primates; Hominidae.
CCAGUCUGAGAGAUGCCAGCAAAGGCUUCCUAGGCCAGUUCAGUCCAGUAAAUCCCUCUUCGAUCUUCUCUUCCACACAGACAGCAGUGAUGAGCAUGCCCAUGAACUCACAUGAUUAUUUUGGGGAAAAUGAAAGAGUUGUAUUCUUUUUGAGGUAGUAAUUCCACUUUCAGGGGCAAAUACAUUUUGAUUAUUUUAUCACCCUUCAGUGAGUUGUUUUUGUUCUUUAAUCAAGGAUGUAUGUUUGAAGUAAGAAGUAAAGCAUAAAGUAUACGAUUUUGUGUGUGUGUGUGUUUUUAUCUUGCUAUACCUGUAGGGAAUAUUUAAUUCUGCCUUGGAAGUGGCCAAAUUUGAAGGUGCUGUGAUUUGAACUGUCAGUGGGAUAAGGGGGCAGAUCAAGAAAGCACUCUGUGCUCCAGAAGGAGCUUUCCGGGCCAGCUUUGAGGAUAAGCUGCUGAUGAGCGAUAUUGUCUUCAUGCGAACUUGGUAUCCUGUUUCCAUCCCAGCCUUCUAUAACCCAGUAACAUCUUUGUUGAAACCAGUGGGUGAGAAAGACACCUGGUCAGGAAUGUGGACCACGGGCCAACUCAGGCUCGCCUAUGGUGUCAGACUAAAGGCAAAUAAGGACUCUCUGUAUAAGCCAAUCCUGAGGCAAAAGAAACAUUUUAAUUCACUGCACAUUCCAAAAGCCUUGCAGAAGGCCCUGCCAUUUAAGAACAAGCCCAAGGCCAGGCGCGGUGGCUCACGCCUGUAAUCCCAGCACUUUGGGAGGCUGAGGCGGGCGGAUCACGAGGUCAGGAGAUCGAGACCAUCCUGGCUAACAUGGUGAAACCCUGUCUCUACUAAAAGUACAAAAAAUUAGCCAGGUGUUGUGGUGGGCGCCUGUAGUCCCAGCUACUUGGGAGGCCGAGGCAGGAAAAUGGCGUGAACCUGGGAGGCAGAGCUUGCAGUGAACUGAGAUCGGGCCACUGCACUCCAGCCUGUGCGACAGUGCGAAACUCUGUCUCAAAAAAAAAGAAAAAAGAAAAAAUAAAAAACAAACCCAAGACCCAAGCAAAGGACAGGCGGAGACUGGCCGUCAUGCGUGAGCCUCAUGAAAGAAAGAUCCUCACACUGCUGGAUGCUCUGAGUAUGGUGCACAGUCAGAAGAUGAAGAAGGCCAAGGAGCAGCGGCACCUGCACAAUAAAGAGCACUUCAGAGCCAAGCAGAAGGAGGAGGAGGAGAAGCUGAAGUGGCAGAAGGACCUCAGGAAGAAGCUCUUCCAAAUUCAGGGGCAGAAGGAAAGAAGAAACCAGAAGUCCAGUUUGAAGGGGGCUGAGGGCCAGUUUCAGUGAGCCUUUGGACUGGAGGGACUGUCCCUGGAUCUGCAGAGGUGGACAGUUUCAAACAUCACAGUUUGAAUGCCUGUGAAUGACAAGUCAGUGGGCAAGAACUCAAGAGAUGUCUCUACACAAACUGUGCCUGCAAGAGGAACAGAGAAGCCUGGACUACUUGGACCGGGUUCAUUCUCAUCACUUGGGGCUGUCGAGAUUUAAAGUGAUGUAA